Molecule: ribosomal RNA, 492 nt
Filed under: uncultured bacterium
Lineage: Bacteria
Description: partial 16S ribosomal RNA
Rfam family: Bacterial small subunit ribosomal RNA
Source: RNAcentral
AGUGAACGCUGGCGGUAGGCCUAACACAUGCAAGUCGAACGGCAGCACAGUAAGAGCUUGCUCUUACGGGUGGCGAGUGGCGGACGGGUGAGGAAUACAUCGGAAUCUACUUUUUCGUGGGGGAUAACGUAGGGAAACUUACGCUAAUACCGCAUACGACCUACGGGUGAAAGCAGGGGAUCUUCGGACCUUGCGCGAUUGAAUGAGCCGAUGUCGGAUUAGCUAGUUGGCGGGGUAAAGGCCCACCAAGGCGACGAUCCGUAGCUGGUCUGAGAGGAUGAUCGGCGACACUGGAACUGAGACACGGUCCAGACUCCUGCGGGAGGCAGCAGUGGGGAAUAUUGGACAAUGGGCGGAAGCCUGAUCCAGCCAUACCGCGUGGGUGAAGAAGGCCUUCGGGUUGUAAAGCCCUUUUGUUGGGAAAGAAAAGCAGCAGGUUAAUACCCCGCUGUUCUGACGGUACCCAAUGAAUAAGCACCGGCUAACUUCGUG